AGAGUUUGAUCCUGGCUCAGAACGAACGCUGGCGGCGCGCCUAAUACAUGCAAGUCGAGCGAGAAGGUGUAGCAAUACACUUGUAAAGCGGCGAACGGGUGAGGAAUGCAUGGGUAAUCUACCAUCGAGUGGGGAAUAACCAACCGAAAGGUUGGCUAAUACCGCGUACGCUUCCGAAUCUUCGGGUUUGGAAGGAAAGCCGUGCUGUGAGUACGGCGCUCUUUGAUGAGCUCAUGUCCUAUCAGCUUGUUGGUAGGGUAACGGCCUACCAAGGCUUUGACGGGUAGCUGGUCUGAGAGGACGAUCAGCCACACUGGCACUGCGACACGGGCCAGACUCCUACGGGAGGCAGCAGUAAGGAAUAUUGCGCAAUGGGCGAAAGCCUGACGCAGCGACGCCGCGUGGGGGAUGAAGGUCUUCGGAUUGUAAACCCCUUUCGGGAGGGAAGAUGGAGCGAGCAAUCGUUCGGACGGUACCUCCAGAAGCAGCCACGGCCAACUUCGUGCCAGCAGCCGCGGUAAUACGAAGGUGGCAAGCGUUGUUCGGAUUCACUGGGCGUACAGGGUGUGUAGGCGGUUUGGUAAGCCUUCUGUUAAAGCUUCGGGCCCAACCCGGAAAGCGCAGAGGGUACUGCCAGGCUAGAGGGUGGGAGAGGAGCGCGGAAUUCCCGGUGUAGCGGUGAAAUGCGUAGAGAUCGGGAGGAAGGCC
This 708-nucleotide ribosomal RNA is filed under the name uncultured Nitrospira sp. Its description in RNAcentral is "bacterial SSU rRNA". It matches the Rfam family "Bacterial small subunit ribosomal RNA", at positions 8 to 710 of the family's 1533-position model. Lineage: Bacteria; Pseudomonadati; Nitrospirota; Nitrospiria; Nitrospirales; Nitrospiraceae. The record is from RNAcentral.